This 514-nucleotide small RNA is filed under the name Pan troglodytes (chimpanzee). Its description in RNAcentral is "retained intron". Lineage: Eukaryota; Metazoa; Chordata; Mammalia; Primates; Hominidae. The record is from RNAcentral.
CUAGCUAAGCCAAGCUGUAGCUGAGCUGUCCCAGGUGGUUCAGCCUCAUCCCCCUUGCUUAUUCGCUACGGGCUCCUGCUCAUGCCUGCCAGAGUGUACAAGCCCAAGCGUGAUCGAUCCUCCCGAGAGCUGACCUGAGCCCAGCUGCCCACCCCUCUCUCAAGCAUCAUCCUCAUGCCUCUGUGUGGUCCUGCUUCCCUGCUGCUGCUUAGGACAGACAGCUUUCUGAUCUGGCUUGCUGCAUGUACCGUCUGCCCUGGCAGGUGGGGCUCCUCUGCCCUCCUGCUGUCUCUGCCUCUGUAACACGCUCUUUAUUUCCUUCAUCUAAAUGGAGUGAAGGCAGCCUGGGUGGUGGCCACUCCAUCCCCCUCUUCUCUGUUCAGUCCUUCUACAGGAAGCACUUUGACACAGAAGAGACCCGGGUGAAUCAGCUGUUUGCACAAGCAAAGGCCUGCAAGGUGCUGGUGGAGAAAUGCACAGUGAGUGUGAAGGACAUCCAGGCGCACCUGGCUCA